AGAGAGAAGCUUGCUUCUCUUGAGAGCGGCGGACGGGUGAGUAAUGCCUAGGAAUCUGCCUGGUAGUGGGGGAUAACGUUCGGAAACGGACGCUAAUACCGCAUACGUCCUACGGGAGAAAGCAGGGGACCUUCGGGCCUUGCGCUAUCAGAUGAGCCUAGGUCGGAUUAGCUAGUUGGUGAGGUAAUGGCUCACCAAGGCGACGAUCCGUAACUGGUCUGAGAGGAUGAUCAGUCACACUGGAACUGAGACACGGUCCAGACUCCUACGGGAGGCAGCAGUGGGGAAUAUUGGACAAUGGGCGAAAGCCUGAUCCAGCCAUGCCGCGUGUGUGAAGAAGGUCUUCGGAUUGUAAAGCACUUUAAGUUGGGAGGAAGGGUUGUAGAUUAAUACUCUGCAAUUUUGACGUUACCGACAGAAUAAGCACCGGCUAACUCUGUGCCAGCAGCCGCGGUAAUACAGAGGGUGCAAGCGUUAAUCGGAAUUACUGGGCGUAAAGCGCGCGUAGGUGGUUUGUUAAGUUGGAUGUGAAAUCCCCGGGCUCAACCUGGGAACUGCAUUCAAAACUGACUGACUAGAGUAUGGUAGAGGGUGGUGGAAUUUCCUGUGUAGCGGUGAAAUGCGUAGAUAUAGGAAGGAACACCAGUGGCGAAGG
Molecule: ribosomal RNA, 655 nt
Filed under: Pseudomonas paralactis
Lineage: Bacteria; Pseudomonadati; Pseudomonadota; Gammaproteobacteria; Pseudomonadales; Pseudomonadaceae
Description: bacterial SSU rRNA
Rfam family: Bacterial small subunit ribosomal RNA
Source: RNAcentral